GGGGAAUAUUGCACAAUGGGCGCAAGCCUGAUGCAGCGACGCCGCGUGGGGGAUGACGGCCUUCGGGUUGUAAACCCCUUUCGCCCGGGACGAAGCGUAAGUGACGGUACCGGGAGAAGAAGCACCGGCCAACUACGUGCCAGCAGCCGCGGUAAUACGUAGGGUGCAAGCGUUGUCCGGAAUUAUUGGGCGUAAAGAGCUCGUAGGCGGUGUGUCACGUCUGCCGUGAAAACCUGCGGCUUAACCGUGGGCGUGCGGUGGAUACGGGCAUCACUUGAGUUCGGUAGGGGAGACUGGAAUUCCUGGUGUAGCGGUGGAAUGCGCAGAUAUCAGGAGGAACACCGGUGGCGAAGGCGGGUCUCUGGGCCGAUACUGACGCUGAGGAGCGAAAGCGUGGGGAGCGAAC
This 406-nucleotide ribosomal RNA is filed under the name uncultured bacterium. RNAcentral describes it as "bacterial SSU rRNA". It matches the Rfam family "Bacterial small subunit ribosomal RNA", at positions 356 to 773 of the family's 1533-position model. The record is from RNAcentral.